UGGGAAUAUUGCACAAUGGGCGCAAGCCUGAUGCAGCCAUGCCGCGUGUGUGAAGAAGGCCUUCGGGUUGUAAAGCACUUUCAGCGAGGAGGAAGGUGGUGAACUUAAUACGUUCAUCAAUUGACGUUACUCGCAGAAGAAGCACCGGCUAACUCCGUGCCAGCAGCCGCGGUAAUACGGAGGGUGCAAGCGUUAAUCGGAAUUACUGGGCGUAAAGCGCACGCAGGCGGUUUGUUAAGUCAGAUGUGAAAUCCCCGGGCUCAACCUGGGAACUGCAUUUGAAACUGGCAAGCUAGAGUCUCGUAGAGGGGGGUAGAAUUCCAGGUGUAGCGGUGAAAUGCGUAGAGAUCUGGAGGAAUACCGGUGGCGAAGGCGGCCCCCUGGACGAAGACUGACGCUCAGGUGCGAAAAGCGUGGGGAGCAAAACAGGAUUAGAUACCCUGGUAGUCCACGCUGUAAAACGAUGUCGAUUUUGGAGGUUGUGCCCUUGAGGCGUGGCUUCCGGAGCUAACGCGUUAAAUCGACCGCCUGGGGAGUACGGCCGCAAGGUUAAAACUCAAAUGAAUUGACGGGGUCAUAGCUG
Molecule: ribosomal RNA, 583 nt
Filed under: uncultured bacterium
Lineage: Bacteria
Description: partial 16S ribosomal RNA
Rfam family: Bacterial small subunit ribosomal RNA
Source: RNAcentral